The sequence is a non-coding RNA, 370 nucleotides long. It matches the Rfam family "transfer-messenger RNA". Rfam says of the family: Bacterial tmRNA, also known as 10Sa RNA or SsrA, is named for its dual tRNA and mRNA-like properties. The record is from Rfam.
GGGGAUGAUCGGUUUCGACUGGGGAUGUCGAAGCAGGGGAAGCGAGCCGAGGAAGCGGCAAUGAUCUCGUUAACCAUAUGUCGCAACCAAUAAUCGCCAACACCAAGCGCGAUUCCUUCGCCCUCGCUGCCUAAGUAGCGACUUGCGAAGUGUCAGCCCGGGGGUGAUCCCGACCCGGAUCCUGGCAUCAUCAAGGGAUCUAAACUUCUAGGACCGGUCACGGGUCCUGGAAGGAAAUCAAACAGUGACUGGGCCCGUCGGCGGCUUGUCCGCGUGACUGCCGGGGCCGAGAAAAGCACAGCGGACUGCGCUCGGAGAAGCCCUGUUUCCGCACCACAGGACGCGGGUUCGAUUCCCGCCAUCUCCACUC